GUAGUUAGCCGGGGCUUCCUCCUUGGCUACCGUCACUUUCUUCGUCACCAAGGACAGAGGUUUACAACCCGAAAGCCUUCUUCCCUCACGCGGCGUUGCUGGGUCAGGCUUGCGCCCAUUGCCCAAUAUUCCCCACUGCUGCCUCCCGUAGGAGUCUGGACCGUGUCUCAGUUCCAGUGUGGCCGAUCAGCCUCUCAGCUCGGCUACCCAUCGUCGGCUUGGUGGGCUGUUAUCUCACCAACUACCUAAUGGGACGCGAACCCCUCUAAAAGCGAUAAAUCUUUGACCUCUUCCCGAUGCCGGGUUGUGGUCUUAUGCGGUAUUAGCAGUUGUUUCCACCUGUUAUUCCCCACUCUUAGGCAGGUUGUUCACGCGUUACUCACCCGUGCGCCACUAGAAUUAUCAAUUCCAUCCGAAAACUUCCUUAAUAAUCCCCGUUCGACUUGCAUGUGUUAGGCACGCCGCCAGCGUUCGUCCUGAGCCAGGAUCAAACUCUGA
Molecule: ribosomal RNA, 498 nt
Filed under: uncultured bacterium
Lineage: Bacteria
Description: partial 16S ribosomal RNA
Source: RNAcentral